Molecule: ribosomal RNA, 498 nt
Filed under: Boophis roseipalmatus
Lineage: Eukaryota; Metazoa; Chordata; Amphibia; Anura; Mantellidae
Description: partial large subunit ribosomal RNA
Rfam family: Bacterial large subunit ribosomal RNA
Source: RNAcentral
CUAACCGUGCGAAGGUAGCAUAAUCACUUGUUCUUUAAAUGAGGACUAGUAUCAACGGCAUCACGAGGAUCCUACUGUCUCCCCCCUCCAGUCAGUGAAACUGAUCUCUCCGUGAAGAAGCGGAGAUACGCAUAUAAGACGAGAAGACCCCAUGGAGCUUUAAACCCAACAACACCCGCCUCCCUUAAACCCUAUUAUCAGCCCGGCGAUUGUUUGCUUGGUUUUAGGUUGGGGUGACCACGGAGUAUAAAACAUCCUCCAUGAAAAAAAGCUAACUGCCCUUAUUAGAGAAAGACAUUUCCAAAAAAUAACAAAUUAAUUUUUAAUGACCCGAUAUUCGAUCAACGAACCAAGUUACCCUGGGGAUAACAGCGCAAUCCGCCCCGAGAGCCCCUAUCGACAGGCGGGUUUACGACCUCGAUGUUGGAUCAGGGUAUCCUAGUGGUGCAGCAGCUACUAACGGUUCGUUUGUUCAACGAUUAAAACCCUACGUGAUCU